Molecule: long non-coding RNA, 287 nt
Organism: Ixodes scapularis (black-legged tick)
Lineage: Eukaryota; Metazoa; Arthropoda; Arachnida; Ixodida; Ixodidae
Exons: 2
Source: RefSeq, a predicted model, not a curated record
UCCACAGCCCUGGAAGCCAUCGUGACCGAGACGGCUGGCAAGUACUGCGUCGGCGACGAGAUCACCCUCGCAGACGCAUGUCUGCUCCCCCAGAUGGGCAACGCUCAGCGCUGGGGCAUCGACGUCAGCCCUUUCCCGAUCCUGGUUCGGAUCUGCGCCGCCCUCGAAGCUCACCCGCUCGUCAAAAAGGCACAUCCGUCUUGCCAACCGGAUGCACAAGCAGAUGCUUGAAAGUAUACAGCGGUGCCUUAUCAGAAGGCAAUAAAAGGAUGCAUUGCUCAAACCUA